UAACUCUGAGAGUUUUUGGAUCUUCUCGCCCCCAUAUCCUAGGACAAUCGCCUGCUGAUCAUGGAUGGGCAAACAUUGAGAGUCGAGCCAAGCCGCUCGAUUCUAUCUCCAACAUAUGCUGUGCUCCUCCUAACCUGAGAACUGCUUAGGAUAUCAUUCUACGACAAUAAGAAUCUCAUCCUGCGAUAUCAUCUCUUAUCCUUUCGAGUCUCGCAUCUCGUGCUCGAUCCAUCUCCACCUGGAGCUCUACCUCACUCUGAACUCUUCCUGACUCUUGAAGCUCCACAUCGCACUAGACUCCCCACCAGGUAGUAAUGACCUCUCAUCCUCUUCUUCCUCUCCAGAAUAACCCUAUCACGAUGCAACAC
RNAcentral lists this long non-coding RNA (368 nucleotides) under Elaeis guineensis (African oil palm). RNAcentral's name for it is "long non-coding RNA (EGUI_LNC027361)". Lineage: Eukaryota; Viridiplantae; Streptophyta; Magnoliopsida; Arecales; Arecaceae. The record is from RNAcentral.